This 530-nucleotide ribosomal RNA is filed under the name Mesocnemis robusta. Its description in RNAcentral is "partial 16S ribosomal RNA". It matches the Rfam family "Bacterial large subunit ribosomal RNA", at positions 1829 to 2619 of the family's 2925-position model. The record is from RNAcentral. Lineage: Eukaryota; Metazoa; Arthropoda; Insecta; Odonata; Platycnemididae.
GUCCUCUUGAUUUUUAUAUGAGGUCAUACCUGCCCAGUGAGUAUUUUAACGGCCGCGGUAUUUUGACCGUGCAAAGGUAGCAUAAUCAUUAGUCUUUUAAUAGAAGGCUGGAAUGAAGGGUUUAACGAAACAUUAACUGUCUCAAAUGUAUUAUUUAUAAAUUAAUUUUUAAGUCAAAAAGCUUAAAUUUUUUUGUAGGACGAGAAGACCCUAUAGAGCUUUACAUUUAUAUUAUUUUAUAUUAAUUGGAUUAUCAUGUGAUAUUUUUUAUAUAGUGUUUUGUUGGGGUGACAAGAAAUAUAUAUUCAACUUUUUUAUUUUAUUUACAUAAAUUUAUGUUAACUUGAUCCUUUUUUAUUGAUUAUUAGAUUAAGUUACCUUAGGGAUAACAGCGUAAUCUUUCUUUGAAGAUCUAAUUUGUAGAAAGGCUUGCGACCUCGAUGUUGGAUUAAGAUUAUUUUUUGGUGCAGUAGCUAAAUAAAUAGGUCUGUUCGACCUUUAAAAUCUUACAUGAUCUGAGUUCAGACCGG